Molecule: long non-coding RNA, 248 nt
Filed under: Capsicum annuum
Lineage: Eukaryota; Viridiplantae; Streptophyta; Magnoliopsida; Solanales; Solanaceae
Description: long non-coding RNA (CANN_LNC015838)
Source: RNAcentral
CGGGGGACAGUUCCUCUGAAUAUGGUCAGGAUGGCCAUAUCUGGAACACUUAUUUCUCCCUUCAUCACAAAAACCAUGGUGUAGCUGACCACAAAACUUGCAAGGAGUAUACGACAAAGCUGUCUGGGCACCACUGGCUUGAGAUUGGACACCUUGUGCCUUAAACCCACUAUUACUCUAAACGUGGCGAUCACCAAACAACUUAGGAUAUGGAGCACCAGUCAUUGAACCUCCUCACUUCUUCUUAG